GAUCCUGGCUCAGGACGAACGCUGGCGGCACGUCUAACACACGCAAGUCGAACGGAGAUGAUUUGAGUUUACUUAGAUCAUCUUAGUGGCGGACGGGUGAGUAACACGUGAGCAACCUGCCUUUGAGAGAGGGAUAGCUUCUGGAAACGGAUGGUAAUACCUCAUAACAUACAGAUACCGCAUGGUGACUGUAUCAAAGAUUUAUCACUCAAAGAUGGGCUCGCGUCUGAUUAGAUAGUUGGUGAGGUAACGGCUUACCAAGUCGACGAUCAGUAGCCGGACUGAGAGGUUGAACGGCCACAUUGGGACUGAGACACGGCCCAGACUCCUACGGGAGGCAGCAGUGGGGAAUAUUGCACAAUGGGGGAAACCCUGAUGCAGCGAUGCCGCGUGGAGGAAGAAGGUUUUCGGAUUGUAAACUCCUGUCUUAAAGGACGAUAAUGACGGUACUUUAGGAGGAAGCUCCGGCUAACUACGUGCCAGCAGCCGCGGUAAUACGUAGGGAGCGAGCGUUGUCCGGAAUUACUGGGUGUAAAGGGAGCGUAGGCGGGACGGCAAGUCAGAUGUGAAAUACAUGGGCUCAACCCAUGGGCUGCAUUUGAAACUGCUGUUCUUGAGUGAAGUAGAGGUAAGCGGAAUUCCUGGUGUAGCGGUGAAAUGCGUAGAUAUCAGGAGGAACACCGGUGGCGAAGGCGGCUUACUGGGCUUUUACUGACGCUGAGGCUCGAAAGCGUGGGGAGCAAACGGGAUUAGAUACCCUGGUAGUCCACGCUGUAAACGAUGAUUACUAGGUGUGGGGGGACUGACCCCUUCCGUGCCGCAGUUAACACAAUAAGUAAUCCACCUGGGGAGUACGGCCGCAAGGUUGAAACUCAAAGGAAUUGACGGGGGCCCGCACAAGCAGUGGAGUAUGUGGUUUAAUUCGAUGAUACGCGAGGAACCUUACCCGGGCUUGAAUUGCAGAGGAAGGAUUUGGAGACAAUGACGCCCUUCGGGGUCUCUGUGAAGGUGCUGCAUGGUUGUCGUCAGCUCGUGCCGUGAGGUGUCGGCUUAAGUGCCAUAACGAGCGCAACCCCUCUCCUUAGUUGCCAUCAGGUUAAGCUGGGCACUCUGGGGACACUGCCACCGUAAGGUGUGAGGAAGGUGGGGAUGACGUCAAAUCAGCACGGCCCUUACGUCCGGGGCUACACACGUGUUACAAUGGCAGGUACAGAGAGACGGUUGUACGUAAGUACGAUCAAAUCCUUAAAGCCUGUCUCAGUUCGGACUGGGGUCUGCAACCCGACCCCACGAAGCUGGAUUCGCUAGUAAUCGCGCAUCAGCCAUGGCGCGGUGAAUACGUUCCCGGGCCUUGUACACACCGCCCGUCAAGCCAUGAAAGCCGGGGGCGCCUAAAGUCCGUGACCGUAAGGAGCGGCCUAGGGCGAAACUGGUAAUUGGGGCUAAGUCGUAACAAGGUA
RNAcentral lists this ribosomal RNA (1460 nucleotides) under metagenome. RNAcentral's name for it is "bacterial SSU rRNA". It matches the Rfam family "Bacterial small subunit ribosomal RNA". The record is from RNAcentral.